UGUUUAUAGAAAUAAUUAUAAAUAAAGCCUGCUCCAUGUAAAUAUAAAUAGCCGCAGAAAAUUUACUGUGCUAAGGUAGCAUAAUCAUUAGUCUCUUAAUUAGAGACUAGAAUGAAAGGCAUAACAUUUAUACACUUUAUUUGCCCUAAAUAUUAAAAUUAAACUAAUUAUAAAAAUGUAAUUAUAAAAAAACUAGACGACAAGACCCUAUUAAACUUAACUUAAGUUAAGCUGGGGCAGCUAACUAAUAAUUACUUUAAUUUUUUAAAAUUUAAAACUCCAAUAAAAUUGAUAAUAACAAGUUACUAUAGGGAUAACAGCGUAAUUUUAUUUUAAAGCUCUUAUUAAAAAUAAAGAUUACGACCUCGAUGUUGAAUUAAUUUAACUUUUAACUGAAACAAGAUAAAAAGUAAGUCUGUUCGACUUUUAAAAAAUUACA
This 439-nucleotide ribosomal RNA is filed under the name Physoglenes sp. LB-2014a. RNAcentral's name for it is "partial 16S ribosomal RNA". It matches the Rfam family "Bacterial large subunit ribosomal RNA", at positions 1816 to 2600 of the family's 2925-position model. The record is from RNAcentral. Lineage: Eukaryota; Metazoa; Arthropoda; Arachnida; Araneae; Synotaxidae.